AGUGAACGCUGGCGGUAGGCCUAACACAUGCAAGUCGAACGGCAGCACAGUAAGAGCUUGCUCUUACGGGUGGCGAGUGGCGGACGGGUGAGGAAUACAUCGGAAUCUACUUUUUCGUGGGGGAUAACGUAGGGAAACUUACGCUAAUACCGCAUACGACCUACGGGUGAAAGCAGGGGAUCUUCGGACCUUGCGCGAUUGAAUGAGCCGAUGUCGGAUUAGCUAGUUGGCGGGGUAAAGGCCCACCAAGGCGACGAUCCGUAGCUGGGCUGAGAGGAUGGAUCCGCCCCCCUGGACCUGGGACCCGUCCCCACCCCCUAGGGGGGGCAGCAGGGGGAAAUUUUGGAAAAUGGGGGCAACCCUGCUCCACCCAUCCCGGGGGGGUGAAGAAGGCCUUCGGGUUGUAAACCCCUUUUGUGGGGAAAAAAAAGCAGCAGGUUAAACCCCCGCUGUUCUGCCGGUACCCAAAGAAAAAGCCCCGGCUAACUUCGU
This 492-nucleotide ribosomal RNA is filed under the name uncultured bacterium. RNAcentral describes it as "partial 16S ribosomal RNA". It matches the Rfam family "Bacterial small subunit ribosomal RNA", at positions 29 to 506 of the family's 1533-position model. The record is from RNAcentral.